CCGGAAGGGGAGUGAAACAGUUCCUGAAACCGUGUGCCUACAAGUAGUUAGAGCCCGUUAAGGGGUGAUAGCGUGCCUUUUGUAGAAUGAACCGGCGAGUUACGAUUUGUUGCAAGGUGAAGCGGAAAAAGCGGAGCCGUAGCGAAAGCGAGUCUGAAUAGGGCGCAUAAGUAACAGGUCGUAGACCGGGAACCAGGUGAUCAACCCAUGGCCAGGAUGAAGGUAAGGUAAUUCGUACUGGAGGUCCGAACCCACGCGCGUUGAAAAGUGCGGGGAUGAGGUAUGGAUGGCGGAGAAAUUCCAAUCGAACUUGGAG
RNAcentral lists this ribosomal RNA (316 nucleotides) under Listeria monocytogenes. RNAcentral's name for it is "bacterial LSU rRNA". It matches the Rfam family "Bacterial large subunit ribosomal RNA", at positions 526 to 844 of the family's 2925-position model. The record is from RNAcentral. Lineage: Bacteria; Bacillati; Bacillota; Bacilli; Caryophanales; Listeriaceae.